RNAcentral lists this ribosomal RNA (693 nucleotides) under Triticum aestivum (bread wheat). RNAcentral's name for it is "partial small subunit ribosomal RNA". Lineage: Eukaryota; Viridiplantae; Streptophyta; Magnoliopsida; Poales; Poaceae. The record is from RNAcentral.
AUGACUUGCAUCGCUCGUUCCGAUCGUGCAAGCCAUUAUUAUAAAUUCUGCUUUUUUUAUUGUCAAAUUUAUCUUAAUGAUGUUCUUUGUUCAUGGACGACUGGCCUGCAAAAACUCACUCCGACACCUCCUGCGUGGCUUUCCCUGCGCCUCUCGUGGCCACUUUUCUCUGACUCCGGCAUAGACCUCAAUGACACUCUACCUGAGCCGGUGGCCCUCGGCAUCGACCUCGGUGUCAUGAAGAACAUCCAAGAUUAUAUGGUCGAGAAGCUCAGCGUCGACAAGAGCAUCAUCCUAGAGCUCUGCAUCAUCCUCUACAAGCAAGUACCGAACCACCAUGGCCAUGCCACUGUCUUGACCAUGUGUCUGUUGUGGUCCUUGAUGCAGGCCAUUGUGCACCAAUUUGACGACGAUGAUUUCCACAGCUUUGUUCAUGGAUGGCUGGCUUACGAAAAGCUCACGCCGACGCCUCCGGUGUGGCUUCCCCUACGCCUCCAGCAUAGGGUUCUUGUACAUGCGAAAGAGAGCAUGUCUAAAGAAAAGAAAAACCUGGAUAAUCAUGGUUGUUACAGUCCUAGGGAAAUUGAUACACUCAUGGGCCACCUGAUGUUGGUUGUCAAGCUUGUUUGCUGCGACCAUCAGCCGAUGUAUCCUUCAUCAGUGCACGGCCAUGGCGAUGAAAUGCUGCGUUGA